Clostridium sp. CAG:7 is the source of this 164-nucleotide small RNA. It matches the Rfam family "Clostridiales-1 RNA". The record is from Rfam. NCBI's taxonomy places the organism in Bacteria, Bacillati, Bacillota, Clostridia, Eubacteriales, Clostridiaceae.
UGAAAGUGUUGUCAAGCGACUAUGGGGACUGCGUGCUUGCACGCAAGGAACCAUAGACAUUUGACAACCAAGCCGGUAUGAGUAAGCAGGGCGACAGCCCGGAUUACGAAUGCUGGUGGCAGUUGUGGGAGUGCCAGCGGCACGUAACAACUGACUUACUUUCA